CCUACGGGGCGCAGCGGUGGGGAAUAUUGGACAAUGGGGGAAACCCUGAUCCAGCGACGCCGCGUGAGUGAAGAAGUAUUUCGGUACGUAAAGCUCUAUCAGCAGGAAAGAAAAUGACGGUACCUGACUAAGAAGCCCCGGCUAACUACGUGCCAGCAGCCGCGGUAAUACGUAGGGGGCAAGCGUUAUCCGGAUUUACUGGGUGUAAAGGGAGCGUAGACGGCAGCGCAAGUCUGGAGUGAAAUGCCGGGGCCCAACCCCGGAACUGCUCUGGAAGCUGGGGGAGCGAACAGGAUUAGAUACCC
Molecule: ribosomal RNA, 305 nt
Filed under: uncultured bacterium
Lineage: Bacteria
Description: bacterial SSU rRNA
Rfam family: Bacterial small subunit ribosomal RNA
Source: RNAcentral